AAGUCGAGGGGUAACGGGGAAGCUUGCCUCCGCCGACGACCGGCGCACGGGUGCGUAACGCGUAUACAAUCUACCUUGUACUGGGGUAUAGCCUUUAGAAAUGAAGAUUAAUCCCCCAUAGUCUCUUAGAGUGGCAUCACUUCUAGAGUAAAGGUUACGGUAUAAGAUGAGUAUGCGUUCUAUUAGUUUGUUGGUGUGGUAACGGCACACCAAGACUACGAUAGAUAGGGGCCCUGAGAGGGGGAUCCCCCACACUGGUACUGAGACACGGACCAGACUCCUACGGGAGGCAGCAGUGAGGAAUAUUGGACAAUGGAGGCAACUCUGAUCCAGCCAUGCCGCGUGCAGGAAGACUGCCCUAUGGGUUGUAAACUGCUUUUAUACAGGAAGAAACACCUCUACGUGUAGAGGCUUGACGGUACUGUAAGAAAUAAGGAUCGGCUAACUCCGUGCCAGCAGCCGCGGUAAUACGGAGGAUCCAAGCGUUAUCCGGAAUCAUUGGGUUUAAAGGGUCCGUAGGUGGAUAACUAAGUCAGAGGUGAAAUCUUGCAGCUCAACCUGUAAAAUUGCCUUUGAAACUGGUUAUUCUUGAGUUAUUAUGAAGUAGUUAGAAUAUGUAGUGUAGCGGUGAAAUGCAUAGAUAUUACAUAGAAUACCAAUUGCGAAGGCAGAUUACUAAUAAUUAACUGACACUGAUGGACGAAAGCCGUGGGUAGCGAACAGGAUUAGAUACCCUGGUAGUCCACGCCGUAAACGAUGGUUACUAGCUGUUUGGAACUUCCGUCUGAGUGGCUAAGCGAAAGUGAUAAGUAACCCCACCUGGGGAGUACGUUCCGCAAGAAUGAAACUCAAAGGAAUUGACGGGGGCCCGCACAAGCGUGAGCAUGUGGUUUAAUUCGAUGAUACGCGAG
Molecule: ribosomal RNA, 911 nt
Filed under: uncultured marine bacterium
Lineage: Bacteria
Description: bacterial SSU rRNA
Rfam family: Bacterial small subunit ribosomal RNA
Source: RNAcentral